AUGCACUUUACAUGUCUGCGUUCCCUCUCUCCCUCCUUCCCCCCCCCCCCCCCAAUAAGAGAUUGAAGAUUUCUUGUCACUUGAGAGACUAUUUCAUUGAUUUAACAUGGCCCUGUUGCAUUUUGGCAGUUUUGAAGUUUUUUUUUCUUGGCAUUAAAGCAUAAAUGAGUUCUGAAUUGGUUUAUCAUGUGCAGUACUUAUCUUCUCCCAUUAAUUGGAGGUGUUCUUGUUCAUUGUUUAACUUCUCUUUCUUUCUUCCAAUUUUGUUCUGACAGUUAUAUGUGACAAACGCCUGCUCAUGCUGCAUUCAGUUUAAGAAUAUUAUUAUGGCCUGAUGGGUAGCAUUCCAUUUUUUAAAUGCGCGGUUUUUCUUGUGGCUUGAAUUUUUAAUGAAGCUUGUGAGAAGUUUAGGCGGGCUUUAUAAAUGUGUGAACAAGAAUUAUUGUGCAUCAGCUGUUUGCUUGAUGAACUUUUUGUUUGCACAGGUGAUGUCGUUCUCUCUUUGGUGAAAGCAUACUUGUCUGGUUGAUGGGUUGAGCUUGGUUUUGAGAAGUACAUCAUCAAUGUUUGAGUUUCUUCUUUUUAUUUGGAGGCUGGCUAGUUAUUGAGAUAUUGCAGCAUUGGAUUCUGCUCUUGUCCAGUAGAUGAUUCUUUAAUUU
Molecule: long non-coding RNA, 659 nt
Organism: Hibiscus syriacus
Lineage: Eukaryota; Viridiplantae; Streptophyta; Magnoliopsida; Malvales; Malvaceae
Exons: 2
Source: RefSeq, a predicted model, not a curated record